UACAGAGGGGGCAAGCGUUGUUCGGAAUUACUGGGCGUAAAGGGCGCGUAGGCGGCCAACUAAGUCGGACGUGAAAUCCCCGGGCUCAACCCGGGAACUGCGUCCGAUACUGGAUGGCUUGAAUCCGGGAGAGGGAUGUGGGAUUCCAGGUGUAGCGGUGAAAUGCGUAGAUAUCUGGAGGAACACCGGUGGCGAAGGCGGCAUCCUGGACCGGUAUUGACGCUGAGGCGCGAAAGCCAGGGGAGCAAACGGG
RNAcentral lists this ribosomal RNA (253 nucleotides) under uncultured bacterium. RNAcentral's name for it is "partial 16S ribosomal RNA". It matches the Rfam family "Bacterial small subunit ribosomal RNA", at positions 524 to 776 of the family's 1533-position model. The record is from RNAcentral.